Molecule: transfer RNA, 74 nt
Filed under: Myxococcales bacterium
Lineage: Bacteria; Pseudomonadati; Myxococcota; Myxococcia; Myxococcales
Description: tRNA-Pro
Rfam family: tRNA
About the family: Transfer RNA (tRNA) molecules are approximately 80 nucleotides in length. Their secondary structure includes four short double-helical elements and three loops (D, anti-codon, and T loops).
Source: RNAcentral
CGGGACGUAGCGCAGCUUGGUAGCGCGCCGGUCUGGGGGACCGGAGGGCGCGGGUUCAAAUCCCGCCGUCCCGA